Molecule: ribosomal RNA, 301 nt
Filed under: uncultured bacterium
Lineage: Bacteria
Description: partial 16S ribosomal RNA
Rfam family: Bacterial small subunit ribosomal RNA
Source: RNAcentral
CAGUAGCCACGGUAAUACAGAGGGUGCGAGCGUUAAUCGGAUUUACUGGGCGUAAAGCGUGCGUAGGCGGCUUUUUAAGUCGGAUGUGAAAUCCCUGAGCUUAACUUAGGAAUUGCAUUCGAUACUGGGAAGCUAGAGUAUGGGAGAGGAUGGUAGAAUUCAAGGUGUAGCGGUGAAAUGCGUAGAGAUCUGGAGGAAUACCGAUGGCGAAGGCAGCCAUCUGGCCUAAUACUGACGCUGAGGUACGAAAGCAUGGGGAGCAAACAGGAUUAGAUACCCGUGUAGUCCCUGUCUCUUAUAC